Molecule: non-coding RNA, 116 nt
Filed under: Bacteriovorax sp.
Lineage: Bacteria; Pseudomonadati; Bdellovibrionota; Bacteriovoracia; Bacteriovoracales; Bacteriovoracaceae
Source: RNAcentral
ACGGCCCGGCUAAAUGCUGGGCCCUUUUAUUUUAGGUGAACCUGGUUUGAUUCCAGGACUGUCCCGCAACGGUGAUGACAACUGUCUAAGUCCGAUCCCUAAGAUGAAAUGAAUUC